This 1026-nucleotide ribosomal RNA is filed under the name Triticum aestivum (bread wheat). RNAcentral's name for it is "partial small subunit ribosomal RNA". Lineage: Eukaryota; Viridiplantae; Streptophyta; Magnoliopsida; Poales; Poaceae. The record is from RNAcentral.
AUGCUUUCACAACUUGACUUCAAAAUAUUUGGUUUGGAGACCAUCAAAGAUCAAUAUGUGCAUGAUGCUGAUUUUAAAGAUGUAAUGCAGAAUUGCAAAGAAGGAAGAAGGUGGAACAAGUUUGUCGUUAACGAUGGAUUUGUGUUUCGUGCUAACAAGCUAUGCAUUCCAGCUAGCUCCGUUCGUCUUUUGUUGUUGCAGGAGGCGCAUGGAGGAGGAUUAAUGGGACACUUUGGCGUGAAGAAGACGGAGGACGUACUUGCUACACAUUUCUUUUGGCCAAAGAUGAGACGGGAUGUUGAGCAGGCUGUUUUGAAGAAUAAUAAGAAAAUGUGGGAGGAAUGCUUGCCUCAUAUUGAAUUUGCUUAUAAUCAUUCAUUGCAUUCUACUACUAAGAUGUGCCCUUUUGAAGUUGUGUAUGGUUUCCUACCUCGUGCACCUAUUGAUUUGUUGCCUCUUCCAUCUUCGGAGAAGGUUAAUUUUGAUGCUAAACAACGUGCUGAAUUGAUUUUAAAAAUGCAUGAGUUAACUAAGGAAAACAUUGAGCGGAUGAAUGCUAAAUAUAAACUUGCUGGAGAUAAGGGUAGAAAACAUGUUGUGUUUGCACCUGGAGAUCUUGUUUGGUUACAUUUGCGUAAGGAUAGAUUUCCUGAUUUGCGCAAAUCAAAGUUAAUGCCACGUGCUGAUGGUCCCUUUAAGGUGUUAGAGAAAAUAAAUGAUAAUGCAUAUAAACUUGAGCUGCCUGCAGAUUUUGGGGUUAGUCCCACUUUUAACAUUGCAGAUUUGAAGCCUUAUUUGGGUGAGGAAGAUGAACUUCCGUCGAGGACGACUUCAUUUCAAGAAGGGGAGGAUGAUGAGGACAUCAAUACAAUUGUUACACCCACAGCCCCUACUGCUAUACAUACUGGACCAAUUACUAGAGCUCGUGCACGCCAAUUAAAUUACCAGGAAACAGACCCUCGUGGUCAGGUUGAUCGUGCUCCGGCGUGGUCAAUAACCUCUCGGAGUUGGUUUAGCGAUUGCUAA